Molecule: ribosomal RNA, 274 nt
Filed under: uncultured bacterium
Lineage: Bacteria
Description: partial 16S ribosomal RNA
Rfam family: Archaeal small subunit ribosomal RNA
Source: RNAcentral
AAACCAGCACCUCAAGUGGUCAGGAUGAUUAUUGGGCCUAAAGCAUCCGUAGCCUGUCCUGUAAGUUUUCGGUUAAAUCUGUAUGCUCAACAUACAGGCUGCCGGGAAUACUGCAGGACUGGGGAGUGGGAGAGGUAGACGGUACUCGGGAGGAAGUGGUAAAAUGCUUUGAUCUCUCGAUGACCACCUGUGGCGAAGGCGGUCUACCAGAACACGUCCGACGGUGAGGGAUGAAAGCUGGGGGAGCAAACCGGAUUAGAAACCCCGGUAGUCC